This 467-nucleotide ribosomal RNA is filed under the name uncultured bacterium. RNAcentral's name for it is "bacterial LSU rRNA". It matches the Rfam family "Bacterial large subunit ribosomal RNA", at positions 597 to 1065 of the family's 2925-position model. The record is from RNAcentral.
CUGCGUACCUUUUGUAUAAUGGGUCAGCGACUUACGUUCAGUUGCGAGCUUAACCGAAUAGGGGAGGCGCAGCGAAAGCGAGUCUGAACAGGGCGUUCAGUAGCUGGGCGUAGACCCGAAACCGGAUGAUCUAUCCAUGGCCAGGUUGAAGGUGCGGUAACACGCACUGGAGGACCGAACCCACUAGUGUUGCAAAACUAGGGGAUGAGCUGUGGAUAGGGGUGAAAGGCUAAACAAAUCCGGAGAUAGCUGGUUCUCCUCGAAAGCUAUUUAGGUAGCGCCUCGUGUAUCACUCUCGGGGGUAGAGCACUGUAAUGGUUGGGGGGUCGUCUAGACCUACCCCGCCAUAGCAAACUCCGAAUACCGAGAAGUGCGAGCACGGGAGACAGACGGUGGGUGCUAACGUCCAUCGUCAAGAGGGAAACAACCCAGACCCACAGCUAAGGUCCCCAAUGAUGUGCUAAGUG